This 65-nucleotide transfer RNA is filed under the name Acizzia uncatoides. Its description in RNAcentral is "tRNA-Met". The record is from RNAcentral. Lineage: Eukaryota; Metazoa; Arthropoda; Insecta; Hemiptera; Psyllidae.
GAAAAAUAAGCUAAUUUUAAGCUAUUGGAUUCAUAAUCCAACUAUAGAUUUCAUCUUUUUUCUAA